CAGCCGCCGCGGGAACACGAAGGGUGCAAGCGUUAAUCGGAAUUACUGGGCGUAAAGCGUGCGUAGGCGGUGAGUUAAGUCUGCUGUGAAAUCCCCGGGCUCAACCUGGGAAUGGCAGUGGAUACUGGCUCGCUAGAGUGUGUCAGAGGAUGGUGGAAUUCCCGGUGUAGCGGUGAAAUGCGUAGAGAUCGGGAGGAACAUCAGUGGCGAAGGCGGCCAUCUGGGACAACACUGACGCUGAGGCACGAAAGCGUGGGGAGCAAACAGGAUUAGAUACCCGGGUAGUCCCUGUCUCUUAUAA
Molecule: ribosomal RNA, 301 nt
Filed under: uncultured bacterium
Lineage: Bacteria
Description: partial 16S ribosomal RNA
Rfam family: Bacterial small subunit ribosomal RNA
Source: RNAcentral